GUGCUUGCUUCAGCAGCGCAUAUGUUAAAGUUGGAACAAUAUGGUAAGAUUAGCAUGGCCCCUGCGCAAAACACAAAAAAAGAAAAAGUUAAAAUGUAU
RNAcentral lists this small nuclear RNA (99 nucleotides) under Meriones unguiculatus (Mongolian gerbil). Lineage: Eukaryota; Metazoa; Chordata; Mammalia; Rodentia; Muridae. The record is from RNAcentral.